ACGGUUUGGGAAACUCGCAGCCUCCGCCCGCCGCAGCCGCCGGGGCCAACGACUUCCCCUCCCCGCCAGGGUGUGGGAUGUUUUAAAAGUAAAUGACAUGAUGAAUUAAGAAGCUUACAACAAUGCCUGGAACAUGGUGCAGAGACCGGGAAAUCCUAACCAAGUCCUCAGAGAACCUGAUUUGCUCUAAGAGGUGGCCCUGGAUUGUUCUCAUGGGUGAGGCCUUCCAGCCUGGGCAGCCCUUCCGGUGAAGGUCUGACUUCCCUGGUCACCAGCUUUAUUCGUUCUAUCUAGUGGAGUUUUGGUUCCCAGGGAAUAUACUUGCCCCUCCCUUCUAAUAUGAAGUAUCUACUGUAGUCCAGUGAUCUUUAUCCCAGUUUUGAAUUCACCUUGACCCCCACCCAAUGCCUUACU
Choloepus didactylus (southern two-toed sloth) is the source of this 414-nucleotide long non-coding RNA. RefSeq lists it as uncharacterized. NCBI's taxonomy places the organism in Eukaryota, Metazoa, Chordata, Mammalia, Pilosa, Megalonychidae. The record is from RefSeq and is a predicted model, not a curated record. The transcript has 3 exons.